RNAcentral lists this ribosomal RNA (465 nucleotides) under Bacillus pumilus. RNAcentral's name for it is "bacterial SSU rRNA". It matches the Rfam family "Bacterial small subunit ribosomal RNA", at positions 74 to 524 of the family's 1533-position model. The record is from RNAcentral. Lineage: Bacteria; Bacillati; Bacillota; Bacilli; Caryophanales; Bacillaceae.
GGGAGCUUGCUCCCGGAUGUUAGCGGCGGACGGGUGAGUAACACGUGGGUAACCUGCCUGUAAGACUGGGAUAACUCCGGGAAACCGGAGCUAAUACCGGAUAGUUCCUUGAACCGCAUGGUUCAAGGAUGAAAGACGGUUUCGGCUGUCACUUACAGAUGGACCCGCGGCGCAUUAGCUAGUUGGUGGGGUAAUGGCUCACCAAGGCGACGAUGCGUAGCCGACCUGAGAGGGUGAUCGGCCACACUGGGACUGAGACACGGCCCAGACUCCUACGGGAGGCAGCAGUAGGGAAUCUUCCGCAAUGGACGAAAGUCUGACGGAGCAACGCCGCGUGAGUGAUGAAGGUUUUCGGAUCGUAAAGCUCUGUUGUUAGGGAAGAACAAGUGCGAGAGUAACUGCUCGCACCUUGACGGUACCUAACCAGAAAGCCACGGCUAACUACGUGCCAGCACGCGCGGUAAU